This 2489-nucleotide long non-coding RNA is filed under the name Daphnia pulicaria. Its description in RNAcentral is "uncharacterized LOC124349223". The record is from RNAcentral. Lineage: Eukaryota; Metazoa; Arthropoda; Branchiopoda; Diplostraca; Daphniidae.
AUGGGUUUGGCUAAUGUGAUUUCCGUGUCUUCAUCGCGCCUCUGUUGUUCGGGAUUCGCCAGCAUUGUCGUCCGGUUAACAGUUAUCUCAGCGAGAAAGAUGUUUGGCUUCCCGCAGUGAUUUCGGGGAUGUUACUAAUGGAUAAGGUGUUGCUAUUCGAGUGCUUAACGUAGAAACGGCUACCGAAUGGAAAUGUAAAAUGCAGAUGAUCAUCAAAAUGUUAUUACUUUGAUCCAUAUUUUAGUGUCCAUUCGCCCAUCAGCGAUUUCAAUCUGUUUGAUUUGGGGGAAAUGCGCAGCAAGUAAAAGGGGGAAAACGCUUAGUAAAUUUUGUCAAUAGAUAGAGGACAUAUUGCCGAGGUGGCACGAAAGUUGCUGAUUCCGGCUAGAAAAAGUGAAGGAAAAAUCGAACAAACGACGAAACGAGCCAAACUAUUGUUGGAUAUAACUGGCCUCGAAGGGUUUGACAUUAACUUUGCCAGACGCACCGUAAACUUCAACAACUGCCUCUAUUUUUUUGUUGUCCACCUAUCCCAUGUGAAGUCGUUACGACGCUAUUCUACACUAGUUUUAGGUAAAAAAAUACUAGAUAACAAGUUUUGAAAAUGUCGUAUUUUAUUUCGACUAGAAGCUUUAGAUAUAUGUGCAAGAAAUCAAGUAAUUUACAGCUAACUUUAAAGGCCCUUUGCCAUUUCUUUGGCUUGCUUACACGGAUAGACGGUGUGUGCAACUGGGUUUGAAUACUUAACCGAGACGUAAAAGGCUUUUGCCCUUCUUUUGAAUAGAAAAAGAAAACUCAUCAGUCGUCCUGUCGAGUUUGCACAAAGGCGGAAAAGCGAGCAAAGCGAAUAAUAGUGUGCCGUGGAAUAAGCUAUAGCGCGCAGCUAUAUCAAUAAGCACAAUAUACAAAGUGACGAAGCAGAAGCUAGUCUGCCAAAGAAUGGUUCGAGCGUGAAGGUAAACAGUCUGACUGUCAAAUGAAGUUCCACUUUCGAAUGUUUAUCUUACAAUUUCCCCCCCCCCCCCACGCUGCUACGACAACAUUUCCGUGUCUUUUCGACGGAAUUGAUGGUGACAGAGAGUGAGCUGAUCCCUUUUUUUCUCUCCUAUUUCCAAGAUCUCCAUCCGACACACGUAGACGUAGCUGUAAGCUGAAAUCGUUACCCGUGACUUAUCAUCUGCCGAGGGCACGAGCCGGGUCACCCUUAAUUGCCAGUAGUAAAUCCCGAAAUAUUUCAUUAAGAAUGUUACCACUUUAACCAAAUUUAUGGAGACUUUAGAUUAUUCUGUUUACGAGCCCUCUUGAAUCUGAUUUACUGAUGUGCGCAGUCCUUGCCAGCAUUUUGGAUUGAAUCGAAAAAAAACUUGGGAGGAAUUAAAAGAGUUCCCUCAAGAGUAGAUUUGGCAUUUGACGUCAUUCACCGCGGUUUUUCAAUUAUUACACUACAGAACCAAGUACUGCGUUAUUGUAAGUGAAAAGUUACGCCAUCCGUCCCAUUGUGUCCGAUCCCCCGCAUGUCGCUAGUCGAGAGAAAGUGCGCACGCUCUCCUUGGAAAAGCUUUUCUUCCUAUCAACGUCUUUAUGUAAAGUCCAGCACUCUUGUCCCUUUUCUUUCGACAAGUAAACUCGGUUCUUUUCUAUAGAUCCAAUUCUCCUUGCUCCACAUAGUUCCUUCUUCUUCCAUAGUAAUCCGCCGCCCACAUCCGUUGCGAGCUCACCAGCCUUUUCUUCGCGGAACUUUUAUUAGCAGUGUCGAGUCGUUGGCCAGCCAAAUAAUGACCAGCUUUAAGUACGAGGCCCUUGGCUUUUGUGCUGCUGCACUGCUUUAUCUAUCUACAUAAGACGACGAUGCGAUUGUAUUAAUUAGUAGUCUGCAGUUAAUGGCACGAUAUCGUUCAACUUCCAGCAACGAGAGAUUCAACGUUUUUCCCAACCCAUCGAUACAAACACGAUUUCGCAUUUGUCUCCAGCAUAAGUAUAUUGCGUACAUUACCCGACAAGUCCCAUCUUGUUGGACAGUUCUUUGUAUCCGUUUGAUACUCGUCGAUGCGGAAAACAAAUGCUAUGAGGAGAGCACAACCUUUUAGGGUUAAAGUAGCGUAAGGUUUAAAUCGGUCAUUUGACAUCAAAGCUUGGACACACAGAUAUCUGCCACGCAGCAACCAAGGAGGAAGUUAUUUUCCGAUCAAUUUGAUUCCCUCUCACAUGACGGGAAAUGUCAUUUUUGCUUUCUCUUGUGUGGGUGAUUAGGAGUUGCCAUGGAAUUGAAAAUAAAAGACAGGAUUAAAUGAAAACACGGAAUUCUGUAUGUGAUAAAUCAAUGUAAUUUAAUACAAAAUGAACUCCAUGCUGUUGCCUUUUAGCUUUUAGAACUAUUAUUUAUUAUUAGACAGUAUUAUUGGGAAACUCAUCUCUUUAUUCUAUAAGCAGUCCCUUUUUUCGGAUUCGAUAGCUGAGUUCUAGUUAGAAAUGAGGGGAUAUAUAUGAUA